This 1013-nucleotide ribosomal RNA is filed under the name uncultured Mycobacterium sp. RNAcentral's name for it is "bacterial SSU rRNA". It matches the Rfam family "Bacterial small subunit ribosomal RNA", at positions 8 to 1036 of the family's 1533-position model. The record is from RNAcentral. Lineage: Bacteria; Bacillati; Actinomycetota; Actinomycetes; Mycobacteriales; Mycobacteriaceae.
AGAGUUUGAUCCUGGCUCAGGACGAACGCUGGCGGCGUGCUUAACACAUGCAAGUCGAACGGAAAGGCCCCUUCGGGGGUACUCGAGUGGCGAACGGGUGAGUAACACGUGGGUAAUCUGCCCUGCACUUCGGGAUAAGCCUGGGAAACUGGGUCUAAUACCGGAUAUGACCACGAGGCGCAUGCCUUGUGGUGGAAAGCUUUUGCGGUGUGGGAUGGGCCCGCGGCCUAUCAGCUUGUUGGUGGGGUGACGGCCUACCAAGGCGACGACGGGUAGCCGGCCUGAGAGGGUGUCCGGCCACACUGGGACUGAGAUACGGCCCAGACUCCUACGGGAGGCAGCAGUGGGGAAUAUUGCACAAUGGGCGCAAGCCUGAUGCAGCGACGCCGCGUGGGGGAUGACGGCCUUCGGGUUGUAAACCUCUUUCAGCAGGGACGAAGCGCAAGUGACGGUACCUGCAGAAGAAGCACCGGCCAACUACGUGCCAGCAGCCGCGGUAAUACGUAGGGUGCGAGCGUUGUCCGGAAUUACUGGGCGUAAAGAGCUCGUAGGUGGUUUGUCGCGUUGUUCGUGAAAACCGGGGGCUUAACCCUCGGCGUGCGGGCGAUACGGGCAGACUGGAGUACUGCAGGGGAGACUGGAAUUCCUGGUGUAGCGGUGGAAUGCGCAGAUAUCAGGAGGAACACCGGUGGCGAAGGCGGGUCUCUGGGCAGUAACUGACGCUGAGGAGCGAAAGCGUGGGGAGCGAACAGGAUUAGAUACCCUGGUAGUCCACGCCGUAAACGGUGGGUACUAGGUGUGGGUUUCCUUCCUUGGAAUCCGUGCCGUAGCUAACGCAUUAAGUACCCCGCCUGGGGAGUACGGCCGCAAGGCUAAAACUCAAAGGAAUUGACGGGGGCCCGCACAAGCGGCGGAGCAUGUGGAUUAAUUCGAUGCAACGCGAAGAACCUUACCUGGGUUUGACAUGCACAGGACGCCGGCAGAGAUGUCGGUUCCCUUGUGGCCUGUGUGCA